This is a long non-coding RNA of Oxyura jamaicensis (ruddy duck), 1477 nucleotides long. RefSeq lists it as uncharacterized. Lineage: Eukaryota; Metazoa; Chordata; Aves; Anseriformes; Anatidae. The transcript is spliced from 2 exons. The record is from RefSeq and is a predicted model, not a curated record.
ACAUGCUGGUGCACUGAGAAAAAGCAGAGUAGGUGUUAACACUGGGAAGGUAGGCAAACACAGAUGAUAAGAGGCUUUGACACCAGGCUUUGUACUCUUUAACUUGACAAGCUGUUGCAAUGAACAUACUGUGACAUUGAAGCAACGUAAGAGCAGGGCUUGUGACAGCUCUGAGCAAUGAAGUCCUUCCUCCAGGGUUGCACUGUCAGGGGGACAGCAAGUUUCCAGCCCUCUGGCCCUCUUCCAGCGGGGCUGAUAGGGCAGGUCUGUCCUUGCCCUGCAAAGUGGGUGCCUGCACAGGUGUAAAGGCACUGCCAGCUGAAAGAGAGCUGUCAGAGAAAAUGCAAUUAAUUCCUGACAGGCCACCUCUGGAAACCAUUAGGCUCAUGUGGUCUGCAGAUAUCUCUCUACAAGGCAUGAGACGAGGAAGGGUUUCAGACUGGCAGUGUAGCAACAUCAGCGAUGCACAGGUUGGCAAUGUAUGCUAAAUCUGAACACUGUUUUCUUCUCCAUGCACCAUCAUUAAACACCUGCUCCUGAAAUACCUGGAGCUUUAUCGGUUACCCUCAGCCUUGGCUCUAAAGCCUGCAGAGAGUAACUCUGGGCUGCACGAAGCGAAGGAAGGCGAGAGCAUCUCCGAGUGCCCCUGGCCCGUGGUGGAGGCAGCCGGGCGCUGCGAGGCCAGGGCCCUCCACACGGAGGCAGCUUCGGCUCAGGAGAGGAAGGCGAGAGCUUCUGCAGCCUGCUGGGUUAGCUCCUGCCUUUGCUGUUUCUGCAGGCUUGAGCUCUGCAAACAGUCCCAUUGCCUUGGCUGGAGUUAGCCCUGCUGGAGCUGAUGCGCCUGCACUGCAGCCCUGCGAGGCUCUGCUGGGCUCUAGCAGCCCGGGCAGCCUUACUAUAGAGCUGCCUGCCUCUGUCUGCCCCGCUGCUUUCCACCUCUCUUCAUCUGUCUAUGGGAUCUGAGAGUGGGAGGCAGGCCAACGUGCCCCACAGCUUGGUGGUAGCAGUUGUGUACCCCUCACAUCAAAGCCAACCCGAACGCCGCCUCCUUAUCUCGGGUCUCAGACUUUUUCAUAUCAUGGAUUGUGUUUGGAGAGGUGGAAAUUGAGGCUCCUGGCCCAAGAGAGUUCCUUUUUUGCCCCGUUGUCUGUCUGUCUCUGUGUAGGAGUUUCCUUUUGGCAGCUACAGCUCUUGGAAAUAAGAGAGUCCCUACUGCAGUAGGGAAUGAGCCAGUCCAUGUCCCCAAAACAAACAGCAUCUACCAUGUAUGAUUAAAACCGCUCCUCAAGUGAGGAAGGGAGAAUGGGGAAACUGCUGCAGGUAUUAUUCUCAGAGGAAACCGAAUAGCAGCCAAAAUAGCUGAGUCCUGCUGCUACCUGCCUACCCUGGGCAAGAAGCUGUGGGCAGAGGAGCAGGAGAAGGGGUAGAGGUGGCUGAGGGAGGCUUAGGUGGGGAUAUCCCAGCUUCCAAAGGUCUU